GACUCUGCGGGCUCUCCCGCUGAACAGGAGCGAGAGCGCGAAAGAGGGGGAAACGGGAAAAAAAUCCCCCCGCCCGUGCCUGGCGCGGCGGCGGCCGGGGCGGUGCGGAGAGGAGCGCGGAGGCGCCGCCGCCGCCGCCACGGGGCACCAUCCCCGGCUCGGCCUCACGGUGGCGGUGCGGGCGCGGCGGGGACACCGAGCAAGAGACCGGGUCUGCGCCCGCCGCGAUCCCUGCGCACCACGGCCCUGCCCGCCACGGGGCGAGCCCGAUAAGAGGGCUGUGGACGUUCGGGUCUAGUUGGGAGAGACAGGGGUCCCUGACUCUUGAGCGGUCAGUCAUUUCCUCCCCAGUCCUUGUGGGUGACGUGGCUACGGUUUGGAGCAGCAAGCCCCCUCCCCGAACUAAAGGGCCUCUCCAAAGGUUAAGCCAGGGCAGUCAUUGAGGUCAAAACCAAUAUGUAGUUUCUUGACUGCAGGUGCCUGCACGACUCCCAGAAAGUCGCGUCUCCCCUAACCCCCAUGCCCAGGACCUGAGGACAAAGGUCUAGCGAUUGUCCAUCCCCUCCCCCAGUGAGGACAGCCGGGAAAGACCUGCCUUUGUUGUGUACAGGUGAGCGUCUUGUUCCGCACCACACAUCUUUUAAAAAAAAAAAAAAAAAAUCUGACUUUCCGUUUAAAAGGAGUAAACAAAAGUUUGACAGUCUGCUUAAGCAUGCCUGGUAACUCGUCUGUCACUGUGGGCAUGGGAAACACUUUAAACCUGACUUGGUUAAUUUAAUGCAUUAGGCGGCUUUCUAAAAGAUGCUUGACAAAUGGCAGCAUCAGACCAAACUGGCUUUUGUUUUGAUCUAAAAAAACAAAAAAAUAAAGAAAAGGGCUCCAUUGCCACCCCCUUUUGCCUGUAAACUGGAAAGCUUACCUCAUGUGACUGAAGUCUUAAGCACCAAUACAUAAUGAUGUUUAUAAAGGACGUAUGGAUAAGCUGCCUGUAAAUGUGAAGGUGGUAUCUCACUGUGUUAUCCAGACUGGACUCAAAUUUCUGGGCUCCAAUGGUCCUCUCACCUCAGCCUCCCAAGUAGUCAGGACUACAGAACUCCAUGGCAAUGUUUUGAGGAUUAAAGAGGAGAGUGAUGACUAUCCAAACGUCAGAGAACGCAACUAUGAGACUAGAGACACUGGAAAACUAAAAAAGUAACGGGCCUUUGCUGACUCAGGGAGAUGAUUUCCCAAGAGGGAAGAAAACUGGAACCUGAGAAAUAAGUGAUUUAGUAAUGUGGCUGCUAAAAUACGGAAAAACUAGAAUGAAUGGCUUACACAUUUUUGAAAUGAAGUUAGAAGAGGGUUAUACUGUGAAGAAGAAUGAAAAAGCCAAACAUUUCAUUCAGGUAAGCAUAUCACAUAGGAGAAACUCUAGGUGACUUUGGUUUGGCAGUGAGUUUUUAGAUACAACACCAAAGCACAAUCCAUAAAAGAAAAGAAAGAUAGAUAAGUUGGACUUCAUUAAAAUGAAAAACUUCUGCUCUGCAAAGACACUGUUAAGAGAAUGAAAACACAUGCCACAGACUAUGAGAAAAUAUGUGCAAAACACCUAUCUGAUAAAGGAAGUAUGUCUGAAAUACAAAGAACUCUUAAAACUCAGCAAUAAGAAAAUGAACAACCUGAUUAAAAUAUGGGCAAAAGAGCUGAAUGGAAACCUCCCCAAAGAAUAUAUGUAGAUGGCAAAUGAACAUAUGAAAAGAUUCUCAACACAAUAUGUCACUAGAAAAUUGCAAAUUAAAACAAGAUACCAGUAUACACUUAUUAGAUGAGCUAAAAUCCAAAAUACUAAGAACAGCAAAUGCUGAUGAGGUUGUGGAGCAACAGGAGCUCUCAUUCAUUGCUGGUGGGAAUGCAAAAUGAUGCAGCCACUUGGAAGACAGUCUGGCAGUUUCUUAAAGAUUAAACAAAGGCUUACCAGACACUCCAGCAAUUGCACUCUGUGUAUGUGUGUGUAUUUAUAUAUGUGUGUGUAUAUGUGUGUGUGUAUUUAUAUGUGUGUAUUUGUGUGUGUGUGUGUAUACAGGUAUCCACAGGGGAUUGGUUCCGGAAAGCUCCAUGGAUACCAAAAUCUGAGGAUGCUCAAGUUUCUUACAUAAAAUGGUGUGAGAUUUGCAUAUAAUCUAUGCACAUCCUCCUGUAUACUUUAUUUUUUAUUGUAUGUACUUAUUUUUUGAGACGGGUUCUCAGUUUGUCACCCAGGCUGGAAUGCAGUGGUGUGAUCACAGCUCACUGCAGCCUUAACCUCUGGGACUUAAGCAAUUCUCCCAGCUCAGCCUCCUGAGUAGCUGGGACCACAAGCAUGCACCACUACACGUGGCUAAUGUUAUUUUUUGUAGAAAUGGAAGUCUCACUGUGUUGCCCAGGCUAGGCUUCUGUAUACUUUAAGUCAUUUCUAGAUCACUUAUAAUACCUAAUACAAUAUAUAAAUGUUAUGUAAAUAGAUGUUAUACUGUAUUUUUAAAUUUUGUAUUUUUUUAAUUGUUCUAUUGUUAUUUUUUAUUGUUUAUUGUUUUGUUUAUUGUUGUUUAUUUUGUUUAUUGUGUUGUUUAUUGUUUUAUUGUUGUUUAUUGUUUAUUGUUUUUAUUGUUGUUUGGAAUAUUUUUGAUCCCAGUUGGUUGAAUCCAUGGAUGUGGAACCCAUAGAUAUGGCGGGCCAACUAUAUUUAUUAUUUAGAUCAAGAUAUAUUUCAAUAUAUAAAUUUAAAAAUCUUUUCUGAAAUAAAAGAAGAUUGACUCUUCUUUUCAAGUCAAAGAACAUACCAUGUGCCAGGCAAAAUUGAUUCAAACGUAUCUUCGUAAAACUAUUGGACAAGGGAUCUUCUCUUGCUACCUGAAUAAAUAGUGUGAAAAAUAUGGUUGUUGAAGAGACAAAGUAAUAGUAUCUGUCAAUUCAUUUUGAUAAACUUCAGUUUUGUAAGAGAUUAUAUAUAUUUUGUAUAUAUUUUGCAUUAUUUGUAUAUAUGCAUAUUUUAUAUUAUAUAUUUUAUAUAUGUGUGUGUGUUUAUAUGUAUGUGUGUAUAUAUAUAUUUGACUCUUUAUAUCCAUGGGUUCAUCUAAUUACCUCUGCUUCUAUUUAACAUUGUACUGGGCUGUUUUGUAGUGAUGUUCAGGGAAUACAAUCAGGACAGUGCAGUUCUGCUCUGUAGAGGAGUUUCAUGGGUGGAUGUUGAAGAGCCUCAAGUCACCUUCCCAACCCUCCUACCAAUAUAGCUUCUCCCUGACUGGUUGAGAUGAAGACUUAACCUGAAGAUUGGUUUGAUGUUACUGGUUUUCUGGUGCCCAGGUUAUAUGGUUUGGCUGUGUCCCCACCCAAAUCUCAUCUUGAAUUGUAGUUAUCAUAAUCCCCACAUGUCGUGGGAAGGACCUGGUGGGAAGUAAUUGAAUCAUGGAAGUGGUUUCUCCCAUGCUGUUCUUGUGAUAGUGAGUAAGUUCUCAUGGGAUCUUAUGGUUUUAUAAGGAGCUUCCCCCUUCACUCAGCUCUCAUUCUUCUCCUUCCUGCCACUGUGUGGAGAAGGACAUGUUUGCUUCCCCUUCUACCACGAUUGUCAGUUUCCUGAGGCCUCCCCAGCCGUGCUGAACUGUGAGUCAAUUAAGCCUUUCUCCUUUAUAAAUUACCCAGUCUCAGGUAUGUCUUUAUUAGCAGCAUAAGAACGGACUAAUGCACCAGGGCUCUCUUAGUGUUUGUUCUUCCCCAUCACACCCUUCACAUCUUUCUCUCUCUGUCCUGUCUUUCACACACACACAUACACACACACACACCCUUUAGCUCAUUACUGUAAUACUGUCGCUUCUGUCCUUCCCCAGUGUUCCUUAUUGGACAGAGGAGCUAGGGGAUAUGAGUUCACAGACCAAACUAAGAUAUCUGAGUAACACAACCACUUCAAAAUAAAAAAAUAAAAAAAAUCAUGGCCAGAUGAUGGAUAACAUCAGAAAGAGAUGCGUUAGAACAGAUGAACCAAGAGUUUAGAAUAAGCAUAAUAAAUAUAUUAAAAUAUGUAAGUGAGGAUAUUAGCAACAUGAUAAUAAUGAAAUACAUUGUAUAUGUACAAUUCCAGGUUUCAGGGUUUUACUUUUAGCACAUUAAAUAUGGCAUUCCAUUGUCUUUUGGCCUUCAUUAUUUCUGAUGAGAAGUUAGCUGAUUUUUCUACUCAUGGUUCCCUGUAUAUAGUAUAUGCUGUUUUUCUUGGUCAUUUUCCAGAUUUUCUGUUUUUUAGUAGGUUGA
Molecule: long non-coding RNA, 4260 nt
Filed under: Homo sapiens (human)
Lineage: Eukaryota; Metazoa; Chordata; Mammalia; Primates; Hominidae
Description: non-protein coding lnc-SLC26A8-1:10
Source: RNAcentral